Molecule: ribosomal RNA, 431 nt
Filed under: uncultured bacterium
Lineage: Bacteria
Description: bacterial SSU rRNA
Rfam family: Bacterial small subunit ribosomal RNA
Source: RNAcentral
AUUGAACGCUGGCGGUAUGCUUAAGACAUGCAAGUCGAACGGUAACAGGUUAAGCUGACGAGUGGCGGACGAGUGAGUAACGCGUGGGAACCUGCCCUUUGGUUGGGGAUAACUGCGGGAAACUGCGGCUAAUACCCGAUGCACCCGAGAGGGGAAAGAUUUAUCGCCGAAGGAUGGGCCCGCGUCGGAUUAGGUAGUUGGUGGGGUAACGGCCUACCAAGCCUUCGAUCCGUAGCUGGUCUGAGAGGAUGAUCAGCCACACUGGGACUGAGAUACGGCCCAGACUCCUACGGGAGGCAGCAGUGGGGAAUAUUGGACAAUGGGCGCAAGCCUGAUCCAGCAAUGCCGCGUGAGUGAAGAAGGCCUUAGGGUUGUAAAGCUCUUUCGGCGGGGACGAUGAUGACGGUACCCGCAGAAGAAGCCCCGGCUAA